AGUAACAUCCGGAAACGGGUAGCUAAUACCGCAUAGUUUCUUGAUCGCAGGAUUGAGAAAGGAAAGACGGCCUUUGUGCUGUCGCUUAUGGAUGGACCCGCGGCGUAUUAGUUAGUUGGUGAGGUAACGGCGUCACCAAGACGAUGAUACGUAGCCGACCUGAGAGGGUGAUCGGCCACAUUGGGACUGAGACACGGCCCAAACUCCUACGGGAGGCAGCAGUAGGGAAUCUUCCGCAAUGGACGAAAGUCUGACGGAGCAACGCCGCGUGAGUGAAGAAGGGUUCUUCCGGGAUCGUAAAACUCUGUUGUCAGAGAAGAACAAGUUGGAGAGUAACUGCUCCAGCCUUGGACGGUAUCUGACCAGAAAGCCACGGCCUAACUACGUGCCAGCAGCAGC
Molecule: ribosomal RNA, 399 nt
Filed under: uncultured bacterium
Lineage: Bacteria
Description: bacterial SSU rRNA
Rfam family: Bacterial small subunit ribosomal RNA
Source: RNAcentral